GGGUAGAGCUCAGUGGUAGAGUACAUGCUUAGCACGCAUGAAGUUGUGGGUUCAAUCCUCAGUACCUCCA
RNAcentral lists this transfer RNA (70 nucleotides) under Camelus bactrianus (Bactrian camel). It matches the Rfam family "tRNA". From Rfam's summary of the family: Transfer RNA (tRNA) molecules are approximately 80 nucleotides in length. Their secondary structure includes four short double-helical elements and three loops (D, anti-codon, and T loops). Further hydrogen bonds mediate the characteristic L-shaped molecular structure. tRNAs have two regions of fundamental functional importance: the anti-codon, which is responsible for specific mRNA codon recognition, and the 3' end, to which the tRNAs corresponding amino acid is attached (by aminoacyl-tRNA synthetases). tRNAs cope with the degeneracy of the genetic code in two manners: having more than one tRNA (with a specific anti-codon) for a particular amino acid; and 'wobble' base-pairing, i.e. permitting non-standard base-pairing at the 3rd anti-codon position. RNAcentral also lists the same sequence under 1 other name. The record is from Rfam by way of RNAcentral. Lineage: Eukaryota; Metazoa; Chordata; Mammalia; Artiodactyla; Camelidae.